CUUAAGGAUUAAGGGAAGAAGCCUUGCUGGAAUUCUGCCAAAAGUUAGCACUCAGCCAAAGCUUACCAGCUUACUGAACCCAAAAAACACUCUUCCAAGAAUUUAGACAGAGGUCUAUGGCGGUGUGUUUGAUGAAUGUCAGGGCCAGCAGUGUCAAGGUCUUCAUCAUGCUGGGACUGUAAGCUAUAUAUGGACAUGUCUGAUUCAUUCAACCACUUGCAUUCUGAAUGGACGUGGGUGUCACAAUACACGUUCCUGGGGCACAUUAACGACUAUGACAAACCUCAACUACUCAUUUCAAUAGUAUCGGUUUGACUAAUCUAACCAAGAUGUGGCGGCAAGUUAAGUCCACUGGUUACCCUACUUACCCUCACCUAAAUAGAUUUAAAACUACACAACACAUUAGGCAUCCAAUAGGAGGGCCAAUAAGAUAGCUGACAGGAAGCAGAAAAAAAAAGUGGACGGUAAGACAUACUUUUCUUGUUCACAAGCAACUUUGUGCUCAAGGCUAUGUUUUUAUGAGGAAAGAAAUAAAGAAUGCACCAGAAUUCA
Cyprinus carpio (common carp) is the source of this 552-nucleotide long non-coding RNA. NCBI's taxonomy places the organism in Eukaryota, Metazoa, Chordata, Actinopteri, Cypriniformes, Cyprinidae. The record is from Ensembl.